This 160-nucleotide unclassified non-coding RNA is filed under the name uncultured Cephaliophora. RNAcentral describes it as "partial internal transcribed spacer 2". The record is from RNAcentral. Lineage: Eukaryota; Fungi; Ascomycota.
AAAACCUCAGUCUCUGAUUUAUCAUUGAUUGGUCUUGCUUCGGAUGCCCAUGGCGUCCCCUGCGAAAUCCAAUGGCGAAGAGCCACGCAGCCAAAGCGUAGUAUAAUCAACCUCGUAAUGGAUGUGUGUGUGCUUCUGCCGUAACCACCAAAUUCUUAGU